RNAcentral lists this ribosomal RNA (739 nucleotides) under uncultured Corynebacterium sp. Its description in RNAcentral is "bacterial SSU rRNA". It matches the Rfam family "Bacterial small subunit ribosomal RNA", at positions 28 to 776 of the family's 1533-position model. The record is from RNAcentral. Lineage: Bacteria; Bacillati; Actinomycetota; Actinomycetes; Mycobacteriales; Corynebacteriaceae.
GACGAACGCUGGCGGCGUGCUUAACACAUGCAAGUCGAACGGAAAGGCCCUGCUUGCAGGGUGCUCGAGUGGCGAACGGGUGAGUAACACGUGGGUGAUCUGCCCCUUACUUUGGGAUAAGCCUGGGAAACUGGGUCUAAUACUGGAUAGGACCAUGCUGUAGGUGGUGUGGUGGAAAGAUUAGUUUCGGUAAGGGAUGAGCUCGCGGCCUAUCAGCUUGUUGGUGGGGUAAUGGCCUACCAAGGCGUCGACGGGUAGCCGGCCUGAGAGGGUGGACGGCCACAUUGGGACUGAGAUACGGCCCAGACUCCUACGGGAGGCAGCAGUGGGGAAUAUUGCACAAUGGGCGCAGGCCUGAUGCAGCGACGCCGCGUGGGGGAUGACGGCCUUCGGGUUGUAAACUCCUUUCAGCCAUGACGAAGCCCUUGUGGUGACGGUAGUGGUAGAAGAAGCACCGGCUAACUACGUGCCAGCAGCCGCGGUAAUACGUAGGGUGCGAGCGUUGUCCGGAAUUACUGGGCGUAAAGAGCUCGUAGGUGGUCUGUCGCGUCAUUUGUGAAAGUCCGGGGCUUAACUCCGGGUUGGCAGGUGAUACGGGCAUGACUGGAGUACUGUAGGGGAGACUGGAAUUCCUGGUGUAGCGGUGAAAUGCGCAGAUAUCAGGAGGAACACCGGUGGCGAAGGCGGGUCUCUGGGCAGUAACUGACGCUGAGGAGCGAAAGCAUGGGUAGCGAACAGG